RNAcentral lists this ribosomal RNA (479 nucleotides) under uncultured bacterium. RNAcentral's name for it is "partial 16S ribosomal RNA". It matches the Rfam family "Bacterial small subunit ribosomal RNA", at positions 28 to 507 of the family's 1533-position model. The record is from RNAcentral.
GAUGAACGCUGGCGGCGUGCUUAACACAUGCAAGUCGAGCGAGAAGUUUUGAAAAGAUUCUUCGGAUGAAAUUUAAAAUGGAAAGCGGCGGACGGGUGAGUAACGCGUAGGCAACCUGCCCCAUACAAAGGGAUAGCAUUUGGAAACGAAUAUUAAUACCUUAUGAAACUUAACUAGUGCAUGCUAGGUAGGUCAAAGAUUUAUCGGUAUGGGAUGGGCCUGCGUCUGAUUAGCUAGUUGGUGAGGUAACGGCUCACCAAGGCGACGAUCAGUAGCCGACCUGAGAGGGUGAACGGCCACAUGGGAACUGAGACACGGUCCAAACUCCUACGGGAGACAGCAGUGGGGAAUAUUGCACAAUGGGGGAAACCCUGAUGCAGCAACGCCGCGUGAACGAUGAAGGCCUUUGGGUCGUAAAGUUCUGUUCUAGGUGAUGAAAACUGACAGUAACCUAGGAGAAAGCCCCGGCUAACUCCGUG